GAAAAACAUCCAAACAGUUCAGGCUUUAAGAUGGUGCAAUCUGAGAAUCAGGCCAAGAUGGGCACCCUGAAGAGCCGGCGAAACUGGCUCGCUGAGACCGGGAUGGUCGACGCCCUGCAGCUCUUCCGCCUGCUGGUGCGGGCCCGCCUCUCGCUCGAGUUUGAGCAUGUGGUCCUGCGGCGGAAGGUGCCCACCUUCGAGGAAUGCUGGGCCCUCGAGGGGGCGCUCUGCUGAGUCGAGGCAGAGUGCCUGCUCCUUGCCCUGUAACACCCCCGGCUGCUCAAGCUUGCGCGAUGCGUCCAGCGGGCGGAGGCCUUGGACUUUGCUUCACACGGGUCGAGCCCUGAGGCCCCCCAUGGGUGUCCCCACUGGCAGAAAUAGGCACAUUCAUUUGGGCUUGUAGAAGAACUGGUGUGAAAUCCACUGAAUUUUACCCUUUG
Alligator sinensis (Chinese alligator) is the source of this 440-nucleotide long non-coding RNA. RefSeq lists it as uncharacterized. The transcript has 3 exons. The record is from RefSeq and is a predicted model, not a curated record. Lineage: Eukaryota; Metazoa; Chordata; Crocodylia; Alligatoridae.